AUCACUUCUCGGCCUUUUGGCUAAGAUCAAGUGCGAAAACUGUUCUCGAAAUUCUUUGGGAGACAAUCAAUCCAUUAUUAUGUAGACUUUUUUUUUUCCUUGUAAAAUCCUGACCCCUU
RNAcentral lists this small nuclear RNA (119 nucleotides) under Zalophus californianus (California sea lion). RNAcentral describes it as "U2 spliceosomal RNA (ENSZCAG00015014816.1)". It matches the Rfam family "U2 spliceosomal RNA". From Rfam's summary of the family: U2 is a small nuclear RNA (snRNA) component of the spliceosome (involved in pre-mRNA splicing). Complementary binding between U2 snRNA (in an area lying towards the 5' end but 3' to hairpin I) and the branchpoint sequence (BPS) of the intron results the bulging out of an unpaired adenosine, on the BPS, which initiates a nucleophilic attack at the intronic 5' splice site, thus starting the first of two transesterification reactions that mediate splicing. The record is from RNAcentral. Lineage: Eukaryota; Metazoa; Chordata; Mammalia; Carnivora; Otariidae.